GACGAACGCUGGCGGCGUGCUUAACACAUGCAAGUCGAACGGAAAGGCCCCCUUGUGGGGUACUCGAGUGGCGAACGGGUGAGUAACACGUGAGUAACCUACCCUUGACUUUGGGAUAACUUCAGGAAACUGGGGCUAAUACCGGAUAGGAGCUCCUGCUGCAUGGUGGGGGUUGGAAAGUUUCGGCGGUUGGGGAUGGACUCGCGGCUUAUCCGCUUGUUGGUGGGGUAGUGGCUCACCAAGGCUUUGACGGGUAGCCGGCCUGAGAGGGUGACCGGCCACAUUGGGACUGAGAUACGGCCCAGACUCCUACGGGAGGCAGCAGUGGGGAAUAUUGCACAAUGGGCGGAAGCCUGAUGCAGCAACGCCGCGUGCGGGAUGACGGCCUUCGGGUUGUAAACCGCUUUCGCCUGUGACGAAGCGUGAGUGACGGUAAUGGGUAAAGAAGCACCGGCUAACUACGUG
RNAcentral lists this ribosomal RNA (465 nucleotides) under uncultured bacterium. Its description in RNAcentral is "partial 16S ribosomal RNA". It matches the Rfam family "Bacterial small subunit ribosomal RNA", at positions 28 to 507 of the family's 1533-position model. The record is from RNAcentral.